This 397-nucleotide long non-coding RNA is filed under the name Nicotiana tabacum (common tobacco). RNAcentral describes it as "long non-coding RNA (NTAB_LNC012197)". Lineage: Eukaryota; Viridiplantae; Streptophyta; Magnoliopsida; Solanales; Solanaceae. The record is from RNAcentral.
ACCUCCUCAAUUUUAUGCGCGCUUUUCAACUUACCCAAACUAGCAACUGAAAAACACCUCAAAAGUGUGAACUGAAGCGGCGAUUCUCUUCACAUUAAAAAAAGAGAAGAGCAAAAUUCUGUUCACUUGACUGCCUCAAAUUAUUACGGCCAUUGAUGAGCUAUAGAAGCAGAUUUAACAUUUUAAAUCAGUAAGGUAAAAUACUAGUCGAUCCCCUUUUUAUUUGUCACAUUGAAUUGAUGAAUUCUAUUUAGUAUAAAUAAAUAAUCGUAUUAAAUUAUUUUAACUAAGUAUUUGUUUGAUCCAGUGUUGGUUUGGAUAGUAGAAGAUGGAGGCUCUGAAGAAAGUAUAUGCGGAGAUAAUUCUGAAUAUGGCAAAGGAGGCGGCAGCUCGGGUC